UAGAUAGAAGUGAACUUUUGUCAGAGUUUCCAAAGAGUUUAAUAUUUUUAGUCAAAUGUGCUAAUGUAAAGAGAAGAUUAGUGACACAUAAUGAAUAAAAUGUGUUCUUCCACAUGGAAAUAGGAAUAUAGUUAAUGUCCUGCAGGUGAUUGGGCCCAUCGCAAUUUUACUGAAGAUUCAAGUUUGACUGACCUUUGGUAGGGCAAUUAACCUCCUGAAAUUAAAAGCCCCAUCUGAAUUAGUCUGUCUAAUUUAAAUGGAAA
Molecule: unclassified non-coding RNA, 263 nt
Organism: Cricetulus griseus (Chinese hamster)
Lineage: Eukaryota; Metazoa; Chordata; Mammalia; Rodentia; Cricetidae
Product: predicted gene, 27588
Source: Ensembl